UCAUAGCGUGCAUUUAGAAAUUUCAAACAAGCAAAAAAUUAAUUUUUGCGUUUUUUGCAUUCAUUUACGCCAAAGCUGUACUUCCAUUAGAACAUGGCUGCCAUGUUGGAAAGAUUGCGAACUGUUUCUGCAUCUUUUCAAGUGGUUACGAAUGAGCUUUUGAAAAACAAGGUUAUUGAGAAUUAUGAAAGCCAAUUUUCGGAAGUAAUGGCUGUUUUGAAAGAGUCAGAAAUGUUGCAGCAGCAGUUUAUCAAUCGUUUUAAAGAAAUGUCUGCUGAAAUUUAUGUUUGUCAGAAGAACG
Molecule: long non-coding RNA, 301 nt
Organism: Uloborus diversus
Lineage: Eukaryota; Metazoa; Arthropoda; Arachnida; Araneae; Uloboridae
Exons: 3
Source: RefSeq, a predicted model, not a curated record